GAGAAACGGCUACCACAUCCAAGGAAGGCAGCAGGCGCGCAAAUUACCCACUCCCGGCACGGGGAGGUAGUGACGAAAAAUAACAAUACGGGACUCUUUUGAGACCCCGUAAUUGGAAUGAGUACACUCUAAAUCCUUUAACGAGGAUCUAUUGGAGGGCAAGUCUGGUGCCAGCAGCCGCGGUAAUUCCAGCUCCAAUAGCGUAUAUUAAAGUUGUUGCGGUUAAAAAGCUCGUAGUUGGAUCUCAGUUCCAGACGGGCGGUCCUCCUAACGGUGGUUACUGCCUGGCCUGAACAGCCAGCCGGUUUCCCUAGAUGAUCUUCACCGGUUGUCUUGGGUGACCGGCACGUUUACUUUGAAAAAAUUAGAGUGCUCAAAGCAGGCGUGUAGCCUGAAUAAUGGUGCAUGGAAUAAUGGAAUAGGACUUCGUUUCUAUUUUGUUGGUUUUCGGAACACGAGGUAAUGAUUAAGAGGGACAGACGGGGGCAUUCGUAUUGCGACGCUAGAGGUGAAAUUCUUGGACCGUCGCAAGACGAACUA
RNAcentral lists this ribosomal RNA (540 nucleotides) under Macrothelidae gen. 2 sp. 2 ZZY-2021a. RNAcentral's name for it is "SSU rRNA". It matches the Rfam family "Eukaryotic small subunit ribosomal RNA", at positions 398 to 942 of the family's 1831-position model. The record is from RNAcentral. Lineage: Eukaryota; Metazoa; Arthropoda; Arachnida; Araneae; Macrothelidae.